CCGACUGGGCAAUGUGCAGGAGUGCUUUCAUGGCGAAAGAAGCUGCCUCGACAUCAACCGUGCAAGUCCGAGACACUGCCCGUGCCAUGCACUUGCCAAGGCCAAAGGAAUACAACGGAGCUCGAGACGCUGUAAUCAUAGACUACUACCUUUGGCACAUGGAGUGCUACUUCGAGGCGCUCAACUUAACAGGGUUGGCCCAGGUACAUACUGCCACUCUACAUUUCACCGACAUGGCUGCANNNN
This 246-nucleotide long non-coding RNA is filed under the name Nicotiana benthamiana. RNAcentral's name for it is "long non-coding RNA (NBEN_LNC033216)". The record is from RNAcentral. Lineage: Eukaryota; Viridiplantae; Streptophyta; Magnoliopsida; Solanales; Solanaceae.